Long non-coding RNA from Wyeomyia smithii (pitcher-plant mosquito), 496 nucleotides. RefSeq lists it as uncharacterized. The transcript has 2 exons. NCBI's taxonomy places the organism in Eukaryota, Metazoa, Arthropoda, Insecta, Diptera, Culicidae. The record is from RefSeq and is a predicted model, not a curated record.
UUGAAUAAUGUUGACAUCGAUUUUCUGGCAGCUUUUUUCGUUUUCGAUGUAAAUAAUCUCAACUAGGCAAAAAAAACCAAUACCUUGAAAAAGCUGUGUGAGAAACCUCGAUUCCACCCGCGGCAGGAAAUGCCGCGAAAAAUUCCGCGAAAUAAAUUCAAAAACCCAACAAAGUAAUGGGUCAUCUCUGGCGAGUGCAAUUUCCACUGUCGGAACCGCUGCAACGGCAACCUUCAACAGCAGCAGCAGUACCUAACAAUUUAACUACGGGAACUGGAACAUAAGAGGCAAUCAGUGUUUUCGCAAUGGAAAUAUUCCUACUGGUCGCUUUUGGAAGCGGUUCGAACCGUAACAACGGUGACGGACUCAAAGAUUCGCUCCUUGGCACUUUCGGAAAUAGUGGAAAUAGUUAUAGUGUUCUGCUGCAAUAAAUCAGCCAGCUUCGGUUAUUACGAAGACUUAAAUAAAUGUUCCAGUGAAUAGUUUAUUUCAUUAA